RNA transcript from Ipomoea triloba (trilobed morning glory), 1765 nucleotides. RefSeq lists it as uncharacterized. Lineage: Eukaryota; Viridiplantae; Streptophyta; Magnoliopsida; Solanales; Convolvulaceae. The record is from RefSeq and is a predicted model, not a curated record. The transcript has 4 exons.
UAAUUUUCUAAUGCCCUAAUUCCCAAAUUUUCACCUCACAGCUCUCAUCUCUCAUCUUCUUCGCCUAACAAGAGUCACAGUUGUUGUCUCUCAUCUUCUUCGCCUCAAAUCUCCUUCGCCUCACUUCUUUCUGUUCAAGGUCACCGCAGAUCUGCUCGAUGUCUCUCACCGUCGACGUCUCUCGCUUCUUUCUGUUCGAGGUCACUGCAGAUCUGUUCAAGGUCUCUCGCCGUCAACAUCUCUCACUUCUUUCUGUUCGAGGUCACCGCAGAUCUGUUCGAGGUCUCUCGCCGUCGACAUCUCUCACAUCUUUCUAUCCGAGGUCACUGCAAAUCUGUUCGAGGUCUCUCACGGUCGACGUCUCUCGCAGCUGCGACACCUCUGACGCUCAGAACAUUCGUUUCUCCUUCGCUUUCUUUUCCCUGGAAAAAUGAUUUUGAUGUUCACUCCUUUCUUCAAAUUGAAUGUCAUGUAUUCUCAUUUAAGACUGUCAUAUUGAUGUUUAGUUUCAUUAGAUGGAAUGAUUUACUAUUUCCUGUUCAAUAUUACUGUCUGUUACUUUCCUUCUUCUAGAAACUACAUUUUACUUCUGAAUCUGCAAAGGAAUCAAACUCGUAAGUGUAGGUUUGGGAAGUGGGAAUUCUUUUGCCUAACUUCUGGCUUCCAACAUCAGGUGGAUAAUGACAGACUCCAGAUUUCUCUUGGCAUGAAGAAUUCAUACUUUAGGGAUGAUGACGGUGAGGAUAUUCAAACAACUUCAAGACAGAGUACCAACAAAACUGAGAAGAAGCGUGCAAUGAAGAAAGCAAAGAAAGAGAGGGAACGGGAAAUCAUGGCUGCUAAAGAAAGGCUGCUUGCAAAGGAUAUCCCCAAGAAUACUGAUGACUUUGAGAAAGCUUUGUGUGGAUCAAGUACAUGGCCUUCAUGCGCUCUUUGGCUGAUGUAGAGAAGGCACAAUCUAUAGAUGAGAGAGAAAUCAACAAGAAUCACGCCAUAUUGAAGCGGUGAAGCGGAGAUGGAGCUGCUGAUUGGAUUAUAUUUUUCUUUAAAAAAAAAUUUCGGCGAAUUGUAUUUUUUUUUUUAAAAAGAAAAUUUUCCACGGCACCGGCUCCAGUAAUUAUUUUAAAAAAAACAAAAAAAAAAACAGUUUUCGCAACACCUUUUAAGGGUGUCACUGAAAAUCAAUACUUUUAGAGUCACUCACAUCCGCUACACCGUUACAGGUGUAGCGGAAACACUUAUACAGGUGUAGCUAAUGUGCAUUUUUGUACUAGUGUGCUACAAUGAAGGGUAUACACAUUUAUACAGUUCUUUUUGGCAUCUUACAAGUCAAAGAAGAAGAAAAAGAACAAGAAGGUUUCUGAAGUGAAACCAACUACAUGAGUAACCAAAACGAGCAAGGGAAAAUGUUUCCAUUGCAACAAAGAAGGGCAUUGGAAAAGAAAUUGCGCGGAGUACCUGAAGUCUUUGAAGGUCAAGGACAACAACAAAUCUUCAAAAGGAUUGAGAAGAAGUAAAGAGUUGGCUGAAGAUGAGAUUGCUCUACGAAUGAGAAAUGGAGCAAGAGUUGUUGCAUUUAGCUGUUGGAGCUUUAUAUAUUCAUUUUUUGUUUAAUCAUAUUUUAAAAAAAAGGCUAUUUAUGUGUUCCUAGUAUUUAAAGACAUUAUUUCCAUUCCAGUUGAGAAUAAUUAUGAAUUUUUCAUUUCGAAAUAAUGUUUAUUACAUUUAUUUCAAUAAUAAAUGUGAUGACACUAGAACACUGUUA